RNAcentral lists this transfer RNA (86 nucleotides) under Rattus norvegicus (Norway rat). It matches the Rfam family "tRNA". Rfam says of the family: Transfer RNA (tRNA) molecules are approximately 80 nucleotides in length. Their secondary structure includes four short double-helical elements and three loops (D, anti-codon, and T loops). Lineage: Eukaryota; Metazoa; Chordata; Mammalia; Rodentia; Muridae. The record is from Rfam by way of RNAcentral.
GGCUCUGUGGCGCAAUGGAUAGCGCAUUGGACUUCUAGAUAAAUUAAGGUAUUCAAAGGUUGUGGGUUCGAGUCCCACCAGAGUCG